Molecule: ribosomal RNA, 750 nt
Filed under: uncultured Bacteroidales bacterium
Lineage: Bacteria; Pseudomonadati; Bacteroidota; Bacteroidia; Bacteroidales
Description: bacterial SSU rRNA
Rfam family: Bacterial small subunit ribosomal RNA
Source: RNAcentral
GCUACAGGCUUAACACAUGCAAGUCGAGGGGCAGCAUGGUCUUAGCUUGCUAAGGCUGAUGGCGACCGGCGCACGGGUGAGUAACACGUAUCCAACCUGCCGUCUACUCUUGGCCAGCCUUCUGAAAGGAAGAUUAAUCCAGGAUGGCAUCAUGAGUUCACAUGUCCGCAUGAUUAAAGGUAUUUUCCGGUAGACGAUGGGGAUGCGUUCCAUUAGAUAGUAGGCGGGGUAACGGCCCACCUAGUCAACGAUGGAUAGGGGUUCUGAGAGGAAGGUCCCCCACAUUGGAACUGAGACACGGUCCAAACUCCUACGGGAGGCAGCAGUGAGGAAUAUUGGUCAAUGGGCGAUGGCCUGAACCAGCCAAGUAGCGUGAAGGAUGACUGCCCUAUGGGUUGUAAACUUCUUUUAUAAAGGAAUAAAGUCGGGUAUGCAUACCCGUUUGCAUGUACUUUAUGAAUAAGGAUCGGCUAACUCCGUGCCAGCAGCCGCGGUAAUACGGAGGAUCCGAGCGUUAUCCGGAUUUAUUGGGUUUAAAGGGAGCGUAGAUGGAUGUUUAAGUCAGUUGUGAAAGUUUGCGGCUCAACCGUAAAAUUGCAGUUGAUACUGGAUGUCUUGAGUGCAGUUGAGGCAGGCGGAAUUCGUGGUGUAGCGGUGAAAUGCUUAGAUAUCACGAAGAACUCCGAUUGCGAAGGCAGCCUGCUAAGCUGCAACUGACAUUGAGGCUCGAAAGUGUGGGUAUCAAACAGG